GUGAAAGGAGGGAUGGAAGGGGAUGGUAACAGCAGGAGAGAAAAUCCUACCCCCAUUUUGUUCCUCCCUACUUGCAGAUCAGUAGCUGCAAUGCUGUGCUUCUUCUCCUUCUCCUUAAUUCUUCUUCACUCCGCAAACUUCAUUUCAUCGUAACUUUUUCAUACGGACAUAAUCGUGCAAGGUUGGAGCCUAUAGAUUCGUAUCAGAACCCUUUUCCAUCUGAUAUGACACCCACACCUCAAAAUCAAUUGCGCUCAAAGAUUGGAGCCUAAAACAGUUUCUGGCGAAGUUUUGCAGAUUCCACUCAAGCUCGCCGAAAUUUGGUCUCGGCCUAAAAGAGAAAGUUGAUCCUCUUCUGACGAUCUUUCUACCUAUACAUGAAUUCAUUGAGUGAAUUGAAGGGGAUUGUUGAUUGAAUUGGUAAUUGGACAAUGAGGGAAUCUAGAAGAUCGGGGCACGUUCUCAAGUUUGUACUACUCUAUCCCUUUCUUUCUCUCUUUCUGGGAAUUUCUUGAAUUUGAAGAUGCAAGUUCUGAUUUAUUCCAUCGAUGGCUACUACAAAUAAUGAUCUUUGCUCUAUCCUUUAUUUGAUACAUUGUAGCUCCAAGAUUAUAAGAGUCGGCUAUUAGUGUUUGGACAUGAUGGUCCUUACUUUGAUCGUGAAGUUGCACAGGUUCUUUUUCGACGUUUCAUCACCCAACGCUGCAUUAAUUUGUGUUGCUUCCUUUAAUAUCGGUCUCCUACCUGUUUGUGAUCAUCUUUGUGUAUGUGCAAUGCAUAUUAUUAUCAAAAUUGUAGAAAGAAGCAAACAACUUACCGAUGAAGAUUUUAUAAGUGGUAUUGACGCCAAAUGAUGAUCGCUUGAACUAGAUUCAGGAAAAUGACAACGUUCUGAUUGCCACAUCUGGCCGUAAAGGAACGACGUUCUCAUUGCAGGAUUUGGUGGUAAAGAUAGAGUACAUUUGGGACCCCACAAUCUGUGUGUUCAGCUUCCGGACUUCCAGUCCAUAGUUGGGAGAUAACGAAUUUUCAAAUAUCAAAGUUUAGGAUUUUUGUUUGGCCAUCAUUGACGAAGUAAAGGAAUACUAAAAAUUCCAAGUUGACUUCAACAGAUCAAGUAUGGAGGGAUGUGAUCGUAGUAAUAUAUCACAGGUCGGCAAUGAUGAAGUUCGAUUGGGGCAAAUAAAUGUUCACAAUUCUCGAGAACAAUCAAAGCAAAGGUUUCGUAGGAGAAAUCAACAAAGACAUAGGCGCCAAAUUGCGAAUUCAUCACAGAGGGUUCAAAAUUCAAUGCAACGACAUGCUAAUUAUCAAACUCAAUUAACUCUGUAAAUAUAGUACAAAAUCAAAUGGAAAAAACAAAGAAACUAUAGAAUCAACAUCAGCGGGUAAUUAUGAUUUCUUUCUUUUGGACCCUAAUAAUUAUAUAUUUGUAAAACCAUCUGAUGUAUGAAUAUAUUUGGACAAAAAUACCCUCCAAACAAAAAAUUCAAAAGCAGCCCAAAAUAAUGCAGGGGUAUUUUCGUCAUAUAAACAGUAUUUUUAAUAAUUAAUUAUUUUUUGCACA
Pyrus x bretschneideri (Chinese white pear) is the source of this 1567-nucleotide long non-coding RNA. RefSeq lists it as uncharacterized. The record is from RefSeq and is a predicted model, not a curated record. NCBI's taxonomy places the organism in Eukaryota, Viridiplantae, Streptophyta, Magnoliopsida, Rosales, Rosaceae. The transcript has 7 exons.